Molecule: long non-coding RNA, 279 nt
Filed under: Amborella trichopoda
Lineage: Eukaryota; Viridiplantae; Streptophyta; Magnoliopsida; Amborellales; Amborellaceae
Description: long non-coding RNA (ATRI_LNC004389)
Source: RNAcentral
CAAACAGGAACAAAUAUCAAAAAAUUGACCAUCAAACGGGAGGCAUAGGAUGCACUGAUGGUGGAGAUGAUCAACUGAUGGUGCUGCUUUCCUCAAGGGCAAAUGGUAGAAGCUUCAUAUCAACAAGUAGCGGAGUUUCAGAUCCAGCUGACAUAUUGGGGCAAGCCAAGAGGGAAAUAUCACAUCCAACUAAAGCAAUGAUGAAUCAAGGAGAGGAGCAACCCAUUUUCUCUCUCUCUCUUAAAUGGAGAUCUUAACAAGGCAGCAACCAACUCUCUC